RNAcentral lists this transfer RNA (75 nucleotides) under Acidobacteriota bacterium. RNAcentral's name for it is "tRNA-Thr". It matches the Rfam family "tRNA". From Rfam's summary of the family: Transfer RNA (tRNA) molecules are approximately 80 nucleotides in length. The record is from RNAcentral. Lineage: Bacteria; Pseudomonadati; Acidobacteriota. RNAcentral also lists the same sequence under 1 other name.
GCCGGCGUAGCUCAACGGUAGAGCGGCGCAUUCGUAAUGCGCGGGUAGGAGGUUCGACUCCUCUCGCCGGCUCCA